UCCCCUCCCCCUCCGCGGGCCUCCCCCUCCCGCGCGGUACAGCUGGGCCGGUGACGCGCGUACUGCUGCCGUUGCCUCUGCUACGGCCGCCGCGUUCCAUUCUCCUAAGCCGGCGACAUCCUCGUCCCCUGCCUCCAGCCUCCUCCUCCCGCAGCGCCGGCCAGCGCCAGCCAGACAAGGGCACUCGGGGUCUCGCCUAGACCCAAGAGGGCUGCGGGCGCGCGCAGGCGGUGGAGCGGAUCCCGGCGCCGCGGACGCUGUGAGCGUCCGCCUCCCGGAGGUCGCCGCGCCGUUCCCCGGGUGAAUCUACCCAGGGCUGACUUCAGUGUUCUUACUUCCGGCUUUAAAAUUUUUUCUUUUUAAAGUAACUUGGACGGAUGAAAGAUGUGCCAUGGCGGGAUAGCACCAAAGAGCACCGCACUGCCGGCCGCGGCCUCCGCGGGGCAUGGAGUGUUCCUUCUGCUGCUGACUCUUGGCACCCUCCUUGGAGACGGCCUCGCCUCGGCUAACCUAGGCUACUUGAUGCUCUCUGGGCUUAAUCUACACUGUCCUACUUUGGUGCAUUAGCUGCAAACCACCACCUCCUUUCCUGCUGAAAUCAAGCCCCAUUGGAAAUGCCACUUCCUCCACGAGCCGUUCCCAGCCGUUCCCCACACAAGGUUGGUCUCUCCUGCUCUCAGCUCCCUCUCUUGUGACACUAAUCCCUUUCUUUGAUGUGUAUUAGAAUAAAUCUGUGUGGAGUAUCUUUGGAGAGAGGCACUGAGUUGACUAGGAAAGGAGAAGGGCUUACUUUUCAUGUUCACCCUCUUACUUUUUGGAUUUUUACCAUGUAUAUAUUUCCUAUGAUUAUUUUUUCUAUGAAGGUAUUAUUUGCAUAACAAAGGACCCAGUCUAUAAAACGUUAGGAGAAGAUAUUGGAGAGUAUGUUUAGGAAAAUGUCCUUACCCAAGACACAAAACCCAGAAGCCAUGAAGAAAACAACUUUUAAAAUAUAUGUGUCGGGACUUCCCUGGUGACGCAGUGGUUAAGACUCCAAGCUCCCAGUGCAGGGGGCCCGGGUUUGAUCCCUGGUCAGGGAACUAGAUCCCACAUGCAUGCCGCAACUAAGAGUUUGCAUGCCACAACUAAGGAGCCAGCGAGCCGCAACUAAGGAGCCCACCUACCGCAACUAAGACCUGGUGCAACCAACCUAAUUAAUUAAUUAAUUUAAAAAUAUAUAUGUGCGGACUUACUUGUCAUACCCCUAUUUGGCUACAAGUACCUGAAGUGCUUAUCUUUCUAUCCUUUUUCAGAGCAUAGCACAGUGAUCCCUACA
RNA transcript from Balaenoptera acutorostrata (minke whale), 1315 nucleotides. RefSeq lists it as uncharacterized. The transcript is spliced from 3 exons. Lineage: Eukaryota; Metazoa; Chordata; Mammalia; Artiodactyla; Balaenopteridae. The record is from RefSeq and is a predicted model, not a curated record.